RNAcentral lists this ribosomal RNA (492 nucleotides) under uncultured bacterium. Its description in RNAcentral is "partial 16S ribosomal RNA". It matches the Rfam family "Bacterial small subunit ribosomal RNA", at positions 29 to 507 of the family's 1533-position model. The record is from RNAcentral.
AGUGAACGCUGGCGGUAGGCCUAACACAUGCAAGUCGAACGGCAGCACAGUAAGAGCUUUCUCUUUUGGGUGGCGUCUGGCGGCCGGCUGAUGAGUACAACGGAAUCUACUUUUUCGUGGGGUAUAUCGUAGGUAAAGUUACUCUAUUACCUCAUCCGACCUACGGGUGAGUGCUGGCUAUCUUCGGACCUUGCGCGAUUGACUGUGCCGAUGUGCGAUUCGCUUGUUAGUGGGGUAAAGGCCCACCAAGGCGACGAUCCGUAGCUGGUCUGAGAGUAUGAUCGGAGACACUGGAACUGAGACACGGACCAGACCCGUACUGGUGGCAGCAGUAGGGAAUAGUGGUCUAAGGGCGUAAGCCUGAUCCAGCCGUACCGAGUGGGUGAAGAAGGCCGCGGGGUUGUAAUGCUCGUUUGUUGGGAAAGAAAAGCAGCAGGUUAAGACCCCACUGUUGUGACGGUACCCAAAGAAUAAGCACCGGCUAACUACGUG